RNAcentral lists this small nucleolar RNA (135 nucleotides) under Ictidomys tridecemlineatus (thirteen-lined ground squirrel). RNAcentral's name for it is "Spermophilus tridecemlineatus (thirteen-lined ground squirrel) Small nucleolar RNA SNORA70". It matches the Rfam family "Small nucleolar RNA SNORA70". Rfam says of the family: snoRNA U70 seems to be exclusive to mammals and is a member of the H/ACA class of snoRNA which contain H (ANANNA) and ACA box motifs. H/ACA box snoRNAs are involved in the conversion of uridines to pseudouridines (5-ribosyluracil) a constituent of structural RNAs (transfer, ribosomal, small nuclear, and small nucleolar). The record is from Rfam by way of RNAcentral. Lineage: Eukaryota; Metazoa; Chordata; Mammalia; Rodentia; Sciuridae.
GUGCACUCAACCCAAGCCAGGUGGUAUCUGCCUUUAAAAUAUGUUGACUUACAAUGGCUGUUAAUAGCAACCUCGUCAGUAGAGUACACAGUCUGCUGUUUAUACAGGUUGCCCUUAUGGACCCUGAUGAUAGCC